Molecule: ribosomal RNA, 406 nt
Filed under: uncultured bacterium
Lineage: Bacteria
Description: partial 16S ribosomal RNA
Rfam family: Bacterial small subunit ribosomal RNA
Source: RNAcentral
AUUGAACGCUGGCGGCAGGCCUAACACAUGCAAGUCGAACGAGUGGCGGACGGGUGAGUAAUGUCUGGGAAACUGCCUGAUGGAGGGGGAUAACUACUGGAAACGGUAGCUAAUACCGCAUACCAUCGGAUGUGCCCAGAUGGGAUUAGCUAGUAGGUGGGGUAAAGGCUCACCUAGGCGACGAUCCCUAGCUGGUCUGAGAGGAUGACCGGCCACAAGGGAACGUAGACACGGUGCAGACUCCUACGGGAGGCAGCAUUGGGGAAUAUUGAACAAUGGGCGCAAGCCUGAUGCAGCCAUGCCGCGUGUAUGAAGAAGGCAUUCGUGUUGUACAGUACUUUCAGCGUGGAGGCGUUCCCCUCAGAAGAAGCACCGGCUAACUCCGUGCCAGCAGCCGCGGUAAUUC